AUGGCUAACAUCAAUAUUUGUAUAAAACCAUAUGAAAGGCAGACCUAAUAUUGCCUCUUCUUCACCCUGGUAUCGGCACAGAUCGUUGAGGCACCAACAAGCUGGCUCUUUGAUCUUGUACCAAAACUUUUUAGAAAUAAUACAAAAACUUUAAAAUUACAUCAAGCAUCGAUUAGAAAUAAUAAAUAGUAACAAUACUAGAUGAUUUUGGUAUUUACCUACAAAUACUCGAAGCAAAUCAGGGGGCAAAAUAGAACCACACAUAAUAGCAGUUGAGAUCUAGAUGCCC
RNAcentral lists this long non-coding RNA (289 nucleotides) under Elaeis guineensis (African oil palm). Its description in RNAcentral is "long non-coding RNA (EGUI_LNC029563)". The record is from RNAcentral. Lineage: Eukaryota; Viridiplantae; Streptophyta; Magnoliopsida; Arecales; Arecaceae.